UCUUCACAAAGUGUAAACAAAAAUGGAAUCGUAUCAGAUUUUGGCGGUUGAAGGAUUUCUCCAUUGAUAUACAUAACUGGUUCGGACGUCGUCUAUCACCCGCCAUCGCGAGCGACGCUCCUGCAGGCGCCAUUACUCCAAGCGCGCAGCGCCCCGCGAUAUUAGGUCGCAGAUGUUUGUUUUUAGACUGGCUUUAAAGGAGCGCAUUGGUUGUUUGGACCUCUGUCAUGGCGGAGUUAUGAAGAGCGUGACGUCACCUCAGAAGGCUGCAAAAAUGUCAGUCUGCAUAAUGUUCAUAGAGAUAUAAAGCAAACAAGCUGCAGCUGUGAAUACGGUGAAAGGGAACCUGAAACCUGCUCACAACUGGAGCUACUGGCUCAGUUGUACUUGCUACAUGCCGUCAGUCUGGGAAAACAACGCAGUUUCAGUUUGUUUAGUUGCGUCGUUGGGUUAUAAGAAGCCGGAUCUGAGACCUUUUUGAGCCAACAGGAACGCUGCCAAAGGAGAUGAGACUGACAGUCCAAUGAUGCUCACUUAAAAAUGUGGACAGCAAGGAAGCUGAAACGUAAACACAACAUUCCUUCAAAUCUGAUCUGCAAUCACUGGUGUUGCUAAUGUUAGCUCAACUAGCUUGACACAAAGAAACAUUGGGGUGAUUUUAUCACCAGUUAAUGAUAAAUCAGCACAUUAUUUGUCACGAGGAGACGUGACUAUUGGAGACGGUGGUUUUCCCCACUAUUCACUUCUGU
Molecule: long non-coding RNA, 749 nt
Organism: Gambusia affinis (western mosquitofish)
Lineage: Eukaryota; Metazoa; Chordata; Actinopteri; Cyprinodontiformes; Poeciliidae
Exons: 4
Source: RefSeq, a predicted model, not a curated record